This 73-nucleotide transfer RNA is filed under the name Myotis davidii. It matches the Rfam family "tRNA". From Rfam's summary of the family: Transfer RNA (tRNA) molecules are approximately 80 nucleotides in length. Their secondary structure includes four short double-helical elements and three loops (D, anti-codon, and T loops). Lineage: Eukaryota; Metazoa; Chordata; Mammalia; Chiroptera; Vespertilionidae. The record is from Rfam by way of RNAcentral.
GCCAGUUUGGCUCAGUGGAUAGAGCGUCGGCCUGCUGACUGAAGGGUCGCAGGUUCGAUUCCUGCCAAGGGCA